Molecule: long non-coding RNA, 2520 nt
Organism: Mirounga angustirostris (Northern elephant seal)
Lineage: Eukaryota; Metazoa; Chordata; Mammalia; Carnivora; Phocidae
Exons: 3
Source: RefSeq, a predicted model, not a curated record
CUCGCGGCCCUCGGGAGGGACAGUGGAAGGAAGGUGCCGAGGCGGGUGAGGAGAGCAUCCCGGGCUUUCUGGCGCACGGGGGGUGAUUCGAUGCUUGGGGCCCUCACGCUCCCACGGGGUCUUUAAUGUGAGCGGGCAGGCGGGGACGGGGGGCACGACGCCCGGUGCUCGCCCUGGUCCUGCCCACCCCGCGCCCUGUGCUCACUCACGCAUGACAGCGACGGCGGGAGUGCGGAGGUGUGCGGGCCGCGUGCUUGCGUUCAGUGAUUCGCUCUUAGGACAGCAAACGCACACAGAGGCAGGAACGGCUUCAUCCCGGUUCGCAGAAGAGGAAACCGAGGCACAGGAAGAUGCACGACUUUCCCAAACCCACAGAGAUGAAAGUGGUGAGGUCAGUCCAGGCCCUGCUCUCAACACCUCCCCUUCCCUUCUGGAAGGUUCUGCAAUCAAUGUUGAGGCCUGCCCACUCCGGGGAGUAUAUGGGUCAACACCGAGUGGACCUUGAAUUCACUUUUGCUGCGACGGGAUGCGUGUGUCGUCCCCAAGGCUGGCCCCGCGGAGGAGACAGCUUUCCUGCGGGAGGAAGAGCCCCAGGCCCUGUCAGCGGCUGCUCUGGGCCCUCGCCCACCAACACUGGAUGGCGUUGCCCGGGCGUGGCCCUCGCUGUGGCUCCUGAGCCAUUCCCACCUGGGGGCCCCUCACCCGGCCAGCAUGCACCGCUGCUCGGAGGAAAAGAGCAUCCUGGUCGAGGGCGGGAGCGUGCACACUGAGGAGCUGCGGACCCCACGGGACGGAGCGCCUCUCACGAUGCUGUGUCUCCCUGAGGCAGCAGGUGUCUGCACGCCUGCCUCCCUUGCUGUCCAGAUGGUCAGUCCUCCAGCGCGGGGGUCACCAACCGGCACCUUGGAGUCCCGUGUCCGGAACGUGGCUGCGGUGGGUGCUCAGAUUCGCUGAAGACACAGAGCAGAGAGCGCCGGGGCCUGGAAAGGGCUCCACCGGUUUCCAGUGUUGGCGAGGUUUCUCCUUUGGGACAGCCCUGUUUGGUGCUGCUCUGGGUUUUGGAUGGAGGGUGGGGUACUGACUACGGGCUCCUUCCCUCCCUCCCCCGCCCCCCUCCCGCCCUUUCCCAGCCGCCAGGCCCACUUAGCGCUGGCAAGCCAGAGCGGCCGGAACGGGGCCCACACCCUGUCCCCAGGAGACAUGACGCCCACCCUGGGUUCUGUGUCUGUGGCCUCGAUUACCCAACGCCAGCGGGUGCAGAAAAUGCACCUGCGUGCCCAUGAGGUCUUUGGGUUAGAGUGGCUGGGGCAGGGGGCUUGCAUCUGUGCCCGCCUGGGCCUCAGCUGGGAGCCCCCAGGGCUGUGCCCGGGACGGCAGAGGGCUGUGCCCGGGGCUGGGCUUCCACCCGGCAGGGGCGCUGAGGCUGGCUCGCCCGACUCCUGCUUUUCCAGAUCUGUGAGCUGCUUGGUGUCAGAGUGAAAUCGGGAUCCCCCCAUCUGAGAGUUGGUUGUGAGCACUGACCAGCACCCCAUUCCGUGGGGCUGCUGCGUCCUGGCUUUGGGCCUUGGGCAGGAGGCUUUGCUUUUCUGAGUGUGCUUUGCUCAUCAGCAGAUUCCAGAUGAAGAGCCGCAGUGCAGGCGUGUGGGGGGCCGAGGACGGUGCUGGUGCAGCAUCCUCUGGGCUUGGUGUGUGUGCAUCCAGCAAGCAUCCGCUGGGGGCCCCAAGGCGGCUUCCUCACGGCACCACGCUGGCCUGCAGACGCCGGCCUAAAACCUGGCCCUGCUGAAAAUGAAAACAUACGCUGGAAAAGCUAUUUUCCUAGAGGGUGGAGAAGGCUCCACGAGAUUUUCCACAGACCUACGGAAUCGGUCUUCCAGCCUCUGGAGCUCGCUCCGGGUCACGCCGGAAGCCUGCGGCUCUCAUCGGAGCAGCCCCCGCUCCCUGGGAAUGUGGUUGCGCCGGCUCUGGGCGCGCCGACAUCCGGCGGCCAGGUGGCCCCAGGGCGCUGGGCGUGCGGCAGGGACCAGGGCGGCUCUGUCCUCUGCAGAAGCGUCUCCGCCGGCCCAGGCCAGAGGUCGCCUGCCCACCCACAUCACGUUUCCCAGCUCUCCUGGCCAUGCUGCAGGCCCCGCCUCCCGCCACCUGGACGCACCCGCACCUGCAGGACCAGGCCCACGUCCACGGUGACGCCCCGACGUCACGAGGCUUCGCCGGCUCAGCAUCACCUGUGGGGCACAGGCAUUUGGGUAUCUAAUUGUUAGGGGACAAGGCUAUUUUGGAUGAAAAAAUAUUCCUUAAAGAUCAUCAUCGGCUAGCAGGGACCACAGAAAUGGAGGGACAGUCUGGAGCUACGGUAGUGUGGGUUUGCAGCCGGAAAACAAAGGGUUUGGAUGGACAGGAGGGUGAAAUGCCAGCUUUGUCAUACCUGUCACUUCCUAGAACCAUCAAGGGUCUGAAUGGGCGUGUGUGUCACUGAAUUUAUGGGGAAACCACAUGCCACGUGGGAGGUGAGCAUCGGCA